Molecule: long non-coding RNA, 540 nt
Filed under: Numida meleagris (helmeted guineafowl)
Lineage: Eukaryota; Metazoa; Chordata; Aves; Galliformes; Numididae
Description: lncRNA (ENSNMEG00000017310.1)
Source: RNAcentral
UUUUGCUUAAACUCUUACAGCUGGUUCCUCUUGUAAGCUGAACAGGAACCUGCCUUGCUCCGCAGCUGACAGCAUGGCAGAGUGCAUCUGCCCUCAGCUGAGGAGACUGCUCUCAUUGGUCUGAGUCUGGCUUGUCCUCCUGCUUGCAUACUGGGCAGCCAUUUCCUAGAGGUCAGCUCUUUCCAAUAGUCGUAGAAACAAUGUCCAUCCUCCUCUGGCAGUAAGGGAAAUCCUGCUGCUACCGCUGACCUGAUAAUAGUUCCACUCUCAUAUCCCUUUUGAAUUCCCCUCUUACGCAGUCUGUUUGCUGUGGACAUCAAGUUGGGUUCCAUAUAUAAUUAAGAAGCUUCCAGUUGGAUGUACUAAUUUAGACCACAAGUUUGCUGCUAAAAUGAAAUUUUUAAUUCUAUAGUACUACUUUCUCAAGUGUUACAAGUGCUCUCCUUCAUGCGUACAUCUAAGGAUCCGUGUAACAUGGUGUCUGUUUUUCUCCUUUCAAAAAAUGAGAAUGAUCAAGAUGAAAAAAUGAAAAAAGAGUGA